This 871-nucleotide long non-coding RNA is filed under the name Anser brachyrhynchus (Pink-footed goose). RNAcentral's name for it is "lncRNA (ENSABRG00000009451.1)". Lineage: Eukaryota; Metazoa; Chordata; Aves; Anseriformes; Anatidae. The record is from RNAcentral.
GGGGGAGUCGCCUCGUCUCGGAGGGACCCGCGGCCGUGGCGCUACGGGGGGAGCGGGGCGGCGCCUGGAGCCCACGGUCUCCUCACAGGAGGCUGUGGGCAGGGGGCAUGGAGCUGGGGGCAGCCCGAAUUAGGCUGCGGGGAGCUGCUGAGGGCACCCCUCGUGCCUCUUCCCUUUCAUAACUCAGUUAUUUUUAGUGGUAACAGGAUUCCUGGGGGACCUCUGUAGCGGGUGGGCCCAGGUUUCUCCUGUGGACUUCGUAGCAAUUCACCUCAGGAUUGUUUAACACAGCAACUUUCUCAGCAAAAGCACUGUAUUGCAGGGCCUAUUUUAGAAGUUACAUACUUACAAAUGGUUAUAAUGCAGCCUCUGGGUACGGCUCACACAUUCAUACGCUAAAAGGGGAAAAAGAACAGCACUUUUUUCCUUUUAAAAUCUCCUUCCACUCAUCUUCUCAUCCAGUAUCUUAUUUUCUUUCCAGGCCACACAAUAUUUCAAACCCUCUCCUCAGCCCAGACACAGAGAUUGCAGCAGAAAUUAUCUUCUUUUCACAGGCCUGGUGAACCACUGACAAGGCCGGAGAAAUUAGCAAGGAGGUUCUGCGAUUGGGAGCUGGAAUUGAUGGUGUCAGAGAUAGAUGGGGAAAACUGGCUGGUGCAGCCCCCAUUCAUCGGGCUUACUGACAGCACAUACAGAAUUAUAUCGGUUUCAUCUGUGGAUUUCAGAAGGGCCUGGGAGGGCUUUUAAGGCCCUGGAAUGGUCUGUGGUCUCUGACCUUCCAAUGGACCAUGUGAGAAGGGAUGAGCCUCCCAGGGAAAAUCUGAAACACGUUGUUCUAGUAGAGAUACACAGCCUAUUCCCAGCACAUUAG